This 1379-nucleotide long non-coding RNA is filed under the name Helianthus annuus (common sunflower). Its description in RNAcentral is "hypothetical non coding rna". The record is from RNAcentral. Lineage: Eukaryota; Viridiplantae; Streptophyta; Magnoliopsida; Asterales; Asteraceae.
GCGCUUUGUGUGCAUAAUGUCAGAUAACAAAAGAAAUUACCUUCCUCCGUACACUUAUGAUGCUGGUUUUUUCUUUCUCAGAAAAAAUGCUGUUGAAAUAACAUAAGCCACCGUUGACGCAACAAUAAGCACGCCAACAAGAACACAAACAGUCGUCACCACAACGUAGAUGUACCUGCAGUAGUAUAAUAACAUCAAUCCCCUUUUUUCAAACAUAAUCAUCAAAUUGUCUUUUAUCAACCACAUCGUCAACAGUAACACUUACUUUGGAGAAAAAACGGUCCAUAUAAAUAAAUGGUUCCUCAUCACCAACAGUAUGAUGGUGUACGCAACCAAAAGUACAGAAUUCAAACCCAGUGGAACCAAACACGGGAACCCAAGAAACAUCUUCACAAGUUGACCCGUAUUUACUUCACGAUUCUUUAGAAUACUAUUAGUUUCUUUAACAGAAACCGACAUCACCAUACUAAGGAGAGCUAACAUAGGAGAUGCAUACGUUAUCACGAACAUUAUCACUCCACUCAACACCGUUGAAUGACUAGAGAUUCCCUGCCAAUAUAACACGCCGUUAUUAUAAGAAAAUCAAAAAAGAAUUAGAGUAAACUGCCAUUUUGGUCCCCUGUGGUUUGGUCACUUUUGCCACUUUAGUCCAAAACUCAAACUUUUUGCAUCUGGGUCCCUGUGGUUUCAGUUUUAUUGCCAUUUUGGUCCAAAAAUGAAAUUAGGUUUGAGUUUUGGACUAAAGUGGUAAAAGUGACCAAACCUCAGGGACCAAAAUGACAAUUUUAUAGUCGAAGGAACAUAACAAUAUAACAUACAAUGAACGCUCCCGCAACAUCAAUCGUUGCUAGCGUAUUCGUGUUUCCAAGACUGAAAUGGCCCGCCAUUCCUAAAUAAUAUAUAGCCGCAAUCUGGAUUAAAAACAAAAAACAAAAUAAAUAUAUUAAAAAUGCAUAUGGUUAAUUGCAACAAAAAUAAAGAAAUAGGAGGAUUAACAUUAACCUCAACCCACUGCUUAACAUCAGAACCACCACGAGAAACAUAAUAAAUAGUAGCAACGAUUUGCACAAGAAGCAGUGAAAUAACCAUCGAAUUAACGGGUUGUUGUAGCAAAAGUUGUAGAAGACACCAACCAAACAUGUAUGCGGUCCCACUAAGGUACAAACUAUCUUUAAUCACCGAAACCAGAUCCUUGCUUUUAAAAGACAUAAACCAUGGUGAUGCAAUAACCGUUACCGUUACAGAUGCGAUGAUCAAACCAUAAAUUAGUCGUACGGCCACGAUCGCGUCAUUACCAGAGGUUCCAGUUUCAGUUUCACUACCCUGAUACUUUAUGACGUAAUGUAGAACCAGUAAACCGGUACAUAAGUAGCUUAGUC